CCNNNACANNNCGAGAUGGCUCAUUAUAUAAGUUAUCGUUUAUUUGAUAAUACUUUACUACUUGGAUAACCGUGGUAAUUCUAGAGCUAAUACAUGCUAAAAAUCCCGACUUCGGAAGGGUUGUAUUUAUUAGAUUAAAAACCAAUGCCCCUCGGGGCUCUCUGGUGAAUCAUGAUAACUAGUCGAAUCGACAGGCCUUGUGCCGGCGAUGGCUCAUUCAAAUUUCUUCCCUAUCAACUUUCGAUGUUUGGGUCUUGUCCAAACAUGGUGGCAACGGGUAACGGAGGGUUAGGGCUCGACCCCGGAGAAGGAGCCUGAGAAACGGCUACUACAUCCAAGGAAGGCAGCAGGCGCGCAAAUUACCCAAUCCCGACACGGGGAGGUAGUGACAAUAAAUACUGAUACAGGGCUCUUUUGGGUCUUGUAAUCGGAAUGAGUACAAUUUAAAUCCCUUAACGAGGAACAAUUGGAGGGCAAGUCUGGUGCCAGCAGCCGCGGUAAUUCCAGCUCCAAUAGCGUAUAUUAAAGUUGUUGUGGUUAAAAAGCUCGUAGUUGAACCUUGGGCCUGGCUGGCCGGUCCGCCUCACCGCGUGCACUGGUCCGGCCGGGCCUUUCCCUCUGCGGAACCCCAUGCCCUUCACUGGGUGUGGCGGGGAAACAGGACUUUU
This 668-nucleotide ribosomal RNA is filed under the name Trichoderma viride. Its description in RNAcentral is "SSU rRNA". It matches the Rfam family "Eukaryotic small subunit ribosomal RNA", at positions 79 to 752 of the family's 1831-position model. Lineage: Eukaryota; Fungi; Ascomycota; Sordariomycetes; Hypocreales; Hypocreaceae. The record is from RNAcentral.